This 88-nucleotide non-coding RNA is filed under the name Oxalobacter formigenes OXCC13. Its description in RNAcentral is "sRNA-Xcc1". It matches the Rfam family "sRNA-Xcc1". Lineage: Bacteria; Pseudomonadati; Pseudomonadota; Betaproteobacteria; Burkholderiales; Oxalobacteraceae. The record is from Rfam by way of RNAcentral.
GGGCGGGAGUGGGCUAAUACAAGACCCUUAAGGGGGAAUAUGCCCAGCAGCGUGGUACGACUGUGUUUUAGCUCCCGCCCGACCCUCG